GCCUCGGUAGCGCAGUAGGCAGCGCGUCAGUCUCAAUCACUCCAGCGAGUAAUCUCAAGGUCGAGUUCGAUCCUCCCGGGGCA
This 83-nucleotide transfer RNA is filed under the name Araneus ventricosus. RNAcentral describes it as "tRNA-Leu". Lineage: Eukaryota; Metazoa; Arthropoda; Arachnida; Araneae; Araneidae. The record is from RNAcentral.